GCGGGUGUAGCUCAGUUGGAUUAGAGCGCUGGCCUCCGAAGCAGAGGCCGUCCGUUCAAGUCGGACCAUCCGCA
This 74-nucleotide transfer RNA is filed under the name Variovorax sp. OK212. RNAcentral's name for it is "tRNA_Arg_CCG". It matches the Rfam family "tRNA". Rfam says of the family: Transfer RNA (tRNA) molecules are approximately 80 nucleotides in length. Lineage: Bacteria; Pseudomonadati; Pseudomonadota; Betaproteobacteria; Burkholderiales; Comamonadaceae. The record is from RNAcentral. RNAcentral also lists the same sequence under 1 other name.